UGCACACACUCACGCCAGGUUCCUGUAGAGGGCAGUGCAGAUUCACUUUGGUACAUAUUUGACUUCGGCCCAGAUGUGAUCAACUGGAAAAAAGAAAUGCACCUAGUCUGAGCUACAAGGACGACACAAACCUGGCAGACGCCCUCUGCGCUCCCUCCUGCCCUGCUUUAUGCCCACCUGCAUGCCCAUCUGCAGAAGAAGCCCGCCAGUUGUUCUGUUUGUGUGCCAGGGUGAAUCAAACCCAUCCACGUCGUUCCCAGGUGUGCAUCUGGCUGCGCCCCCUCUCCAUCCGUCGCUGUGGCCAGAGGGAGAUAAUAAAGACGAAGCUAUUUAAUGAGACUGGUAAUGGGCAGGAUCUCUGCAGUGGAUCGUUCCAGUCUGAAGACCCAGCUGUCCUGACGGACCGUCUGACCCUGCCCAGCGCUCCAGCUUUGAAACCGAGCGACGGAAGGAGGGGAUUACAGCUCGAAACAGGAUCCGGGCUGCUCCGAGUGCUACUUGACCUUGGGGUCCUUCUGUGAGAUGAUCUGGCCGAUGGAUGGAUUGAUGGAUGGAAGAGAACCUCAAUGAAUGCUGGUGGGCUGGACUCAUCUGAGAGGUGGGAAGAUAAGAGGCCACAGUGCUGGUUUUGUUCCAGUCUGGUCAGGUCCGGUCCCAGGUUUGUCAACCCCUCAUCUGUUGACUCCUCUC
This is a long non-coding RNA of Paramisgurnus dabryanus, 690 nucleotides long. RefSeq lists it as uncharacterized. NCBI's taxonomy places the organism in Eukaryota, Metazoa, Chordata, Actinopteri, Cypriniformes, Cobitidae. The record is from RefSeq and is a predicted model, not a curated record.